GUACACUCCUACGGGAGGCAGCAGUAGGGAAUCUUCGGCAAUGGGGGCAACCCUGACCGAGCAACGCCGCGUGAGUGAAGAAGGUUUUCGGAUCGUAAAGCUCUGUUGUAAGUCAAGAACGAGUGUGAGAGUGGAAAGUUCACACUGUGACGGUAGCUUACCAGAAAGGGACGGCUAACUACGUGCCAGCAGCCGCGGUAAUACGUAGGUCCCGAGCGUUGUCCGGAUUUAUUGGGCGUAAAGCGAGCGCAGGCGGUUUGAUAAGUCUGAAGUUAAAGGCUGUGGCUCAACCAUAGUUCGCUUUGGAAACUGUCAAACUUGAGUGCAGAAGGGGAGAGUGGAAUUCCAUGUGUAGCGGUGAAAUGCGUAGAUAUAUGGAGGAACACCGGUGGCGAAAGCGGCUCUCUGGUCUGUAACUGACGCUGAGGCUCGAAAGCGUGGGGAGCGAACAGGAUUAGAAACCCGGGUAGUCCCA
RNAcentral lists this ribosomal RNA (475 nucleotides) under uncultured organism. RNAcentral's name for it is "partial 16S ribosomal RNA". It matches the Rfam family "Bacterial small subunit ribosomal RNA", at positions 331 to 797 of the family's 1533-position model. The record is from RNAcentral.